This 11051-nucleotide long non-coding RNA is filed under the name Olea europaea subsp. europaea. Lineage: Eukaryota; Viridiplantae; Streptophyta; Magnoliopsida; Lamiales; Oleaceae. The record is from RNAcentral.
CCCUUCUGAGCCCACGUUUUUCGCUCUCUUCGCCUCCAUUAUGUUUUUCCCCAAAAUUGUCUUCCCCUCAAGCCUAAUUCCACCUCUUCAAUUCUUGAAUUGAGGCAGAAAGAUUCAGCAGAAAUACAUUGUUAAGCAAAUUUUGCGAGACACUCGGCUUGAAGAUCCAGAAACGAGAACUGCUUCCGCUUCGGGGUCUGUUGAAACGCCAUUCGAAUCGAACACUCCCUUGUUCACUGCAGGUACUCGUAUUCCUAAUUUGUUUGUUAAUACUUGUGCAAAUUAUUUCUUUUUUUAAUUUUUAACUUCAAUUGGCCUUUGAAAUCAAUUUCCGGGUAAUUAUUUUACUGCUCUAGUUUCAUUUUCGCCUGUGAUGGUAAUCAAUCACGUGGGUUUCGAUUUCAUUGACUGAAGAAGGAAAAAAAAAAAAACUAUCUUUCUAAUUUCACCAAAAUUUAGAACGAUUUGAUCAAAUCCUAUAGAAUAUGAUAUCUGUGUUGUUUAACUAUGUGGGGGCUGCUUCUGGUGCUGUUCUUCUUUUGGCAUUUAAUGGCACAUUUGGUACUCACUAAUAGAUGGGAGGGAAGAGUAUUAAAGAAUCUAAAGUAUUUUGGCACAUGGGGUGCAGUGAAUGGUUUGUUUAUACAAUUUUCAGUUUUUUCCUCUUCCUUGGCUUCUUGGCCUUUAUUUUGUUACAAAUGGUUUUUAUUUUCUGGAUGCUAGUUGUGGGUUUUUCUAGCUGUGUCAUAUGCUGUUUUGUAUUGGUGUAUUCUUGUGUUUCAUUACCUGUGUGGAAACUUGAAGAAAUGACUGUUGGUUUCUGCAAAUUUUCCAAAAACUUGUUUUUCUUAUAGUUCAUUUUCCUGCCUUAUAUAAAGAAAUUGAUAGCAGUGAGGAAAGAGGAUUAAAGUGUUCUUUAUGUAUAUGCGGGCAAACCUGUGAAGUAAUGUUGGAUUAGUUUCUAGUUGAUAGGAAACUUUAGUCGUAUUUUCUUCAUGUACUAUGCCACUUGAAGGCUUGAACUCCAUAUUUCUUCUCACAACUUACAGAAAAUUGGAAUUUGCCACGUCCAUCUCCUGUAGUUCAGGCCUUCAGUGACUAGUAUGAUUUAUAUAUUCCCAUACUCAUGUCCAGUGUGUGAGUCCUGAGUCUUGUUGAAAGCUGUGCUCCUCUUAAUUGGAGCCAUUAGUCAUAUCUAGUUUGAAGAACAUCGACAUUCAUCUUCUCUGAGCUCUACGCUCCUAUGACCAACAUUUUCUUACGCAUAAAUAUGCGAACAAACACAGAGAGAGAGAGAGAGAGAGAGAGAGAGAGAGAGAGAGAGAGAGAGAGAGAUUUCCUACUUUCUUUCAUGAUAUAUGCACCAAAUAUCAAAAUAUAAUAGCUUCUUAACUUUUAUUGUAUUGUUUCUCAAUUGAAUAAAAAGUUUUGAUUAUUAGUUAAAAUUCAUCUUAGUGGUGAAUCUUCCUUAUGUCAUGUAAAAGAGAGUUGAGUGCUUUCAUUGUAGAGGUUGAUCUUUGUGAUUUCUUACUGUAAAGAGGCUAGAGAGAUAUCGAAGAAACUUUCACUUUCUUCGUACAUGUUGUAACAUUUUCUUGGUUCUUCUUAGUGGAUCUUGAGCUAUAUCUAUUUACAGAUGCUCGACAGGUGAUUAGGUCGAAAGGCUGAACAUCUGGGCCCCUCCUUGGGGCGAAAAAUAUCGUUGUGUUCUAUUUCUCUUGUUUCUGCAAUUUAUUUUCUUUUAAAUCAACAAAACCACAAAAUAAUUUGACCUGGACCUUUACACAUUUGUUCCUGUUUGCUACUGGAAUUAAACACGUUUCAAUGGAUGGGCCGAAUAUGUACAAGUAAAAUUGGUUAGAUUCUUUUUGUUCGACAGGGUUUCUUUAAGUUCGAAUUAAAUGAUGGUUGACUUUAGGAGCACAAACACAUAUUUUCAUGUUCCUCCCAAAUUAGUACACUACAUUUUAGCACUAUAGAGUAACUUACACAGCGGAUUGAAUCACUCAUUGUUGUCGAUUUUAUAUUUUAUAAGUGUAUGAAUUGUAACAAGUAACAUAGUAGACUAAUGAGUCCGAAUAUCAUUCCCAAAAGAAGACUAUCUAAUUUUCGUUUAAAUUAUUUCUUACUUUAAUUUGAAUAAAAAAAAAUAGAAAUAAUUUAUCUUAUUUUUGUAAUUUUUUUUAUCUUAAAUGUAGUAAAACAAUAAAAUAUGACUUUUCUAAUGAUGAUUUAAGUGUUUCAAGUUUACCAUAGCUAUCCUCUUAAUCUCAAUUACCAAAUUUUAUAAAAAAUGAUUAUGUUUAUCCUGUCGAACUCUUAUAACGUAUUCAACUUACCUUUCUCGAAUUCAAAUUGAAUUUAUUUAACUUAGCCAAUUUCAUAUCUCUAUAUAAAUCCAAAUACACCUUAAUUAAAUGCAUUAAAACCCAUAAAACGACUGAAUUAAUUGAAAAAUGCAUAUCUACACUUUUAUACUAGUUCUCGAUUUUUACUAUUGGUACCAUUUUGAUGUCUUUCGAUUCUUCCAAACGAGAGAGGUAUGAGGCUUUUGAAUCCAUUGCAUUAAUUCCACUUCCUACACACAAUAUGCUCUUUAUGAUAUCAACUUAUGAUUAAUUUGCCCUGUAUUUAGCGCUUGAGCCCCAAAGCUUAUAUUAUUAUGUGAUCGCAGCAUAAAAAAAGUCUGAAUUUUUCAUGGAAGCCGGUGAAGAAUGAUAAUCACAAAUAGGGUUCAUCACUCGGAUCAAGGCUGUCCACUUGGUGAACAAGUGAGAUUUUAAAACUAAGCACAAUGAUCUCCUCGAAUUAAAUCUCAUAUCGUCUAUCCAAUACAUAUAGUUAAAAUGCAUUAAUGUCACUAUUUGAAGGUUCUCACUUCUAUUGUUUAAGACUAUCCAUUAAUUUACCACAUCGUUGGAAUAGACGACAACUAAAUCUUGUCAGGAUAAGUGCAUACUUUAUUCACUGGUCACGGACGAAAAAGUUAUUGAUCAAAUAAUUUGUGUGACAUUUAAUUUAUGUUGCCCAACAGAUAAAAUAUAUUUCUAUACUAGAAAAAAUAUACUUUUUGGGCAUACACCCUAACACAAUCGCUUUCAAGAAGAGUUUGAUUAUUUCAUAAUGCUAAUGUACAGAUGAAAAUGAAGACAUUCAAAUAUGUAAUAUGUAUGAUGUUUGUUUUUGAAAAAAAUUAGAAGAGCUUCAUUAUGUUGUUUAAGGCGGUGUCAAUUGAAUUUUGAUGAAUUUUUGAAAGGGUGGUUAUAUUACUACAACAAUUUUUGUUUGAUACAUCAUAUUUUAACUGUAGUUAAACUUCUCAAUAUUUUCUCAUUGUACCAAAUAUUUCUUAACUUUUUCCUCGAAUCAUUAUCUUCAACAUUUCAUUAAUUAGCACGACUAUUCCUUGAAGAUGAUUUAUAUCAAAAUAUUUUCUUUUUGUAUUUUGAAAUGAGGGAAAAAUAUUUUUUGCUCUACUUAUUUAUUUAUUUCUUUUGAGAAAUAUGGAAAAAUAAGUUAUUUAACAUUAUUUCAAUGGACUUUUGAACAUAAAAUGGUUAUUAAAUACAAAAAGAGUUAACUAAUAAAAUGUUUGAGGAUAAGAAUGACAUGAAAAAUGUUAUGGACAUAACUACUAAAUGAACAACGAUUAAGAACCUUAUGCAUAAUUAAAACUUGGUGCAAGAAAUAAAAAUUGUUGUGUGUGUUGUAAAUGGAAAGUCCAUUAAAGUUUAUUAGUGAAUGACAUUUGUACCCUUAUAGCCCUAGAAAUUAUUACCAUUGUAUUCCUGAUUCUUACCUAUGAAUAUAGGGCUUUGAUUUUUAAUAAUAUGCACAAAAAGUUUAUUGAGUUUUCUCUAUUCUCUUUUCCUCUCAUUUUAUAACACGUUAUCAGCACGAAACUUUUAGAAAGUAGUAAUUUUUUUUCAUAAUCAUCUAUCACGUAUAUCAAAAUUAAUUUGAUAAUACAUGAAUUUUACAUAUACAUAUGUUGAAUCUGCAAUACGUGAUCUCAUCUUUCUCGAUCAUUAUGUUUUCUUUGUACCUCUCUUUGAAUUAAUUAAUGUUUUUUUCCUUUACAUCAAUCCACGUGCAUUUUUAUGGAGAUAUAUUUAUGUUAAAUCAAUUGAUAUGCAUUAAUUCAUGUUCCUAUACCCUCAUAUUUAGAUUAGCCCUUUACGUUCUAUAUAUGCUUAUAAUUUUUUUUUUGUUUAAUUGGUCAAUGUUCUUUGUAAGCAAGCUUCAAUUCCAGAUCUCUAUUUUGGCUGAUUCCAUAUAUGUAUAAUAUAACAAAUAACUGUACCUAACUUAUAUUUUCUCUCAAAUCCAUUGGUUUCUGCAAAUUUUAUACCUUAAUUAGUUAAUACUAAUUCAAUUCUUUUAAUUGCACAUAAUUAGAAUUUCGUGCCAUUAUAUGUGAAUAGGUUUCUACAUGUCACCAAUUUUUUUUCACUCGACUUACGUUAUUAAUUUAAAAUAAUAUUUUACAUGUGUUUGUAUAUUAAUUAAUGGUGAGCAAUUGGAUGUAUUAUCAUUUUUUUAUGUUUAGUUAUGAAACAUUACAUUAAAUUUAUUUUUAAUUGUUGUUGCUCCUGAAGUAGCACAACAUUAUAAUUAAUAUUCCAGAAGAAUAUUAAUAAUAGAUCUAUUCGUUGUUGCUCCAGAAGUAGCACAACAUUAUAAGAAUAUUAUUUGCUCCUGAAGAGCAUAAAUUAUAACUCUCAAUAUUCCAAAAGAAUAUUGACAUAUUGCCCUUGAAGAAAUAAUAGCAAAAUAUAAUGUGCUCCAGAAGUAGCAUAUGUUUCGAAGAACAUAUUAUUUCAAAUUAAUGUUUAUCCCUAGAGGAAAACACGUAACUUAAAGUCAUGUUGAUACUGACUAUUUGAUUAACAUGUGAUGAUUAAUCAUAUUUUUCGAAACUAAUUGUAUUUUUUUUAUUGUGUAGUUAAACAAAUGGCAAACAUUACGAAACUUGAGUUUGCUGUACUUGACAUAUCUGGUAAAAAUUAUCUGUCAUGGAUACUGGAUGCUGAUAUCCAUUUUGUCUCAAAGGGUUUGAGAGAGACAAUAAAAGAAGGAAACAAUGAAUCCCUGCAAGAUCGUGCAAAAGCACUCAUUUUCCUCCGUCACCAUCUUCACGAUGGAUUAAAAAUUGAAUAUCUCACUGAGAAAGAUUCACAAGUUCUUUGGAAAAAGUUAACUGAAAGAUUUGAUCAUCAGAGGACUAUAGUCUUCCCCAAAACCCGUUAUGAGUGAAUGCACCUUCGUUUGCAAGACUUUAAAACAGUUAGUGAGUACAAUUCUGAAUUAUUUAGAAUAUGUUCAAAGUUGACUUUGUGUGGAGAAAAAAUCACCGAUGAAGAUAUGCUGGAAAAAACUUUCUCCACCUUUAAUGCCUCGAAUGUGCUCCUGCAGCAGUAAUAUCGUAAGCGUGAUUUCAAAAAGUACUCAGAACUUAUAUUUUGCCUACUAGUUGCUGAACAAAAUAAUGAAUUGUUGAUAAAAAAUUAUAGAUUACGUCCAAUUGGUUCUGUACCAUUACCUGAAGCAAAUGGUACUACAUUGUCUGAAGCAAAUACAAUAUCAAGACAAGGACGUAGACGUAGACGUGGACGUGGACGCGGACGCGGACGCGGACGCAGAUGUGGACAUGGACGUGGACACGGACACGAACAUGUACGUGGAAUAAAUCAUGGAAGAAAUAAUCAACAAAAUUAUCAACAACAAGGCAAUAAAUUCAAAAGGCACAAAGCAAACGAGAGUGACAAAUCUAAAAAGGAGCAUGAAGAAAGUUGCUUCACAUGUGGAAUGAAAGGGCAUUGGGCCUGUACGUGUCGUUCCUCAAAACAUCUUGUGGAUCUCUACCAGAGAUCAAUCAAGGGAAAAGAAAAAUUGAAGACUAAUUUUGCUGAUUAUGAUGGUCCAAUUGAUGUGACUCAUUUGGAUGUCUCCGAUUUCUUUACUGAUCCAAAUGGAAAUAUUGACCAUUUGGUUGGGGGUGGUAUGAUAGAAGAUAUAAAUUAAUUUACUAGUUGAAAAUAAUGUUAACACGAUAUCGGGUGCGUCGAAUAUCGUUGAAGGCUUUGGAAGAGCUUGUAUUAUUUUACCAAAUAAUAUAAAAUUAUAUAUUGAGGAUACACUUUAUUUUAACAAAUUCAGAAGAAAUUUGCUUAGUUUUAAAAAUAUUCGCUGCAAUGAAUAUCACAUUGAGACGAUGCAAGAAAAUAAUGUUGAAUAUUUUUGCAUCACUUCUUUUAUAUCUGGCAAGAAGCAGAUAAAAAAAAAUUUCAUGCACUUCCAUCUGACAGGUAUUUUACAUUUAUAAAAAUGGUCGAAUCAAAUAAUCAAAUAAUGUUACGAACUAGGAGUUCGUUGAUUUAAAAAGUUUUAUACUUUGGCAUGAUCGACUUGGACAUUCAGGAGCCAUAAUGAUGCGUCGAAUAAUAAAUAACUUACAUGGACAUCCUUUAAAGAACCAGAAGACUCUUUUAUCUAAUGAUUAUCCAUGUGUAGUUUGUUCGCAAGGCAAGUUAGUCAUUAGACCUUCAACUACAAAGGUCAAUAUUGAAUCUCCAACUUUCUUGAAAAUAAUACAUCGAGAUAUAUGUGGGCCAAUACACCCACCAUGUGGAUCAUUUCGUUAUUUUAUGGUAUUAAUUGAUUCUUCUACAAGAUGGUCACAUAUUUGCCUACUUUCAACUAGGAAUGUAGCAUUUGCUAGACUACUCGCUCAAAUCAUAAAAUUGCGAGCACAAUUCCCCGAUUACUCAGUCAAGACUAUUCGUCUUGACAAUGCUGGUGAAUUUAGAUCACAAGCAUUUGAUGAUUAUUGUAUGUCAAUUGGGAUUGAAAUUGAACAUUCAGUUGCACAUGUUCAUAUACAAAAUGGUUUAGCGGAAUCGUUUAUUAAACGUCUACAACUUAUUGCUAGACCAUUACUUAUGAAAACAAAACUCCCAACUUCUGUUUGGAGUCAUGCCAUAUUACAUGCUGCAUCAUUGGUUCGUAUAAAAUCAACUGCCUAUCAUCAAUAUUCACUUUUGUAACUUGCAUUUGGUCAUGAACCUGAUAUUUUUCACCUACGGGGUUUUGGUUGUGCUGUUCAAGUUCUUAUUUCACCCCCACAACGUACUAAAAUGGGUCCCCAACGAAAAUUUGAGAUUUAUGUGGGUUUGAUUCAACAUCUAUUAUUAGAUAUCUUGAACAUUUAACGAGUGACUUAUUUACUGUACGUUUUGUAGAUUGUCAUUUUGAUGAAAUGACUUUCCCAACUUUGGGAGGAGAAAAAUUACAUCUUGAAAAACAAGAUAGAAUUUAUUGGAAUGAGACAACUCUAUCUCACUUUGAUCCCCGCAGCAAUCAAUGUGAACAAGAGGUUGAAAAAAUCAUUCAUUUGCAAAGAGUUGUAAUUCAACUACCUGAUGUAAUUAUUGACACGAGAAAAGUGACAAAGUCAUAUAUUCCAGCAGAAAAUAUUCCAACAAAAAUUAAUGUCCCUGCAGGACAAUCUGCUGUGGCAAAUGAAUCUCAAAUACGUCAGAAGUGUGGUCGAUCAGUUGGUUCAAAAGGCUCUGUACCUCGAAAAAGAAGAGUACAGGAGAAAAACCAAUCAAAAACUUCAGAAGAAAUCACAUUAGAAAAGAUUGAUCAAUCAAAUAUUGAAUGUACGGUUCCUGAAGAAUCAGAGGUGUCCGAAAAUAAUGAGAUCUCAAUAAAUUAUAUGAUAUCUCAUAAAUUAUGGGAACGGAAUAAUAUUGUUAUAGACAAUCUUUUCGCCUUUAACAUGACUCUUGAUAUUAUGUAAAAUGAGGAUUCUGAACCUCAGUUUGUUAAUGACUGUCGAAAUAGAAAUGAUUGGCCAAAAUGGAAAGAAGUCAUACAGGCAGAAUUGAAUUCUUUGGAGAAACGAAAAAUGUUUGGACUAGUAGUUCGAACACCUGAAAAUGUAAUCCCUGUUGGAUACAAAUGAGUUUUUGUACGAAAGAGAAAUGAGAAUAAUGAAAUUACAAGAUACAAAACCCGACUAGUGGCUCAAGGUUUCUUCCAAAAAUCGGGAAUUGAUUAUGAGGAAACAUAUUCUCUCGUAAUGGAUGCCAUCACUUUUAGGUUCUUAAUUAGUUUGAUCGUGCGACAAGGGCUCGAUAUGCGCCUUAUGGAUGUAGUAACUGUCUACUUAUAUGGUUCACUUGACAGUGACAUAUAUAUGAAAGUCCCUGAAGGAUUUAAGGUGUCAGGAAUAAAUAAUACAUGUCCAAGAACUAUGUUCUCAAUUAAAUUGCAAAAAUCAUUAUAUGGAUUGAAACAAUCCGGACGCAUGUGGUAUAAUUGCCUUAGCGAAUAUUUGUUGAAAGAUGGUUAUAAAAAUGACGAUAUCUGUCCAUGUGUUUUCAUAAAUAAAACAAAUAUUGGAUUUACAAUUGUAGCAGUUUAUAUUGAUGAUUAAAUUUAAUUGGAACUCCUGAAGAGCUUAACACUGCAGAUUAUUUGAGAAAUGAGUUUGAGAUGAAAGAUUUGGGAAAAAUCAAAUUUUGUCUUGGAUUACAAAUUGAACAUUUUUCAGAGGGAUUAUUUGUUCAUCAAUCUACUUAUACAGAAAAAGUCUUGAAACGCUUUUAUAUGGAUAAUGCACAUCCAUUGCCAUCACCUAUGGUUGUUCGAUCACUUGAUGUGAAAAAAGAUCCAUUUCGUCCACUUGAAGAUGGAGAAAAGAUUUUUGGUCCUGAAAUACUAUACCUUAGCGCAAUUGGAGUAUUAACUUAUCUUGCAAAUUGCACUCGACCUGACAUAGCUUUUUCUGUAGAUCUCCUUACAAGAUAUAACUCUACACCAACUCAAAGGCAUUGGAAUGGUGUUAAAACAUAUUUUUCGUUACCUAAAAGAUACUAUUGAUAUGAGACUAUUUUAUUCUCAAAAGUCACGAUCUGCUUUAGUGGGAUAUGCAGAUGCAGGUUAUCUCUCCGAUCCACAUAAAGCUAAAUCACAAACAGGAUAUGUGUUUACACGUGGAAGAACAGUUAUAUCAUGGAAAUUUGUGAAGCAAUCCUUGACAGCAACAUCCUCAAAUCAUUCUGAGAUUAUUGCAAUCCAUGAAGCAGGGCGAGAAUGUGUAUGGUUGAGGAAUAUGACCCAUCAUAUCCAAUCAUCAUGUGGAUUGACUUCAACAAAAAAUAGUCCAACAAUUUUGUUUGAAGAUAAUGCAGCUUGUAUCGCACAACUCAAGGGAGGCUAUAUCAAAGGCGACAGGACGAAGCACAUUUCUCCAAAAUUUUUUCAUACACAUGAAUUUCAGAAGAAUGGUGACAUUGAUAUUCAACAAAUUCACUCAAGUGACAAUGUGACCGAUCUAUUCACAAAAGCGUGCAAACAUCUACAUUCAAGAAAUUAGUUCAUGAGAUAGGAAUGCAUCGACUCAAAGAUUUUCAGUGAUCAACAUCAGGGGGAGUAGCUGUACUCUUUUUUCUUCACUUAGGUUUUGUCCCAUUAGAUUUUCCUAGCAAGGUUUUAAUAAGGUAGCAUUUAAUUUUAAUACUCUAAAAUAACUGUACUUUUUUUCUUUCGUUUGAUUUUUUUUCCAUUGGGUUUUUAUCAAACAAGAUUUUAACGAGAUAGAUAUUUUGUAAUAUGUCAUUCAAGAGGGAGUGUUGUAAAUGGAAAGUCCAUUAAAUUUUAUUGGUGAAUGACAUUUGUACCCAUGUAGCCUUAUAAAUUAUUACCAUUGUAUCCCUGAUUCUUACUUAUAAAUAUAGGGCUUUGAUUUUCAAUAAUAUACAUAAAAUAUUUAUUGAGUUUUCUCUAUUCUCUUUUCCUCUCAUUUUAUAACAGUGUGAAUAUUAUUACUCAUUUAAAAAUUCUUCUAAUUAUAAGUAUUCACAUCUAAGAUUUUAAUGGAUUUUAAUGAAAUUCAUUAAAUUUUAUGUGUUCCGAACCGAUAUUUUAAUGCAUUUCAGCGAAAUCCUUUAAAAUUUAGGUGUCCUUAAUUUAUUGUAAUUCGACAUUAUUGUAAAGGUUCACUAAAUCUUUUGAAGCAAUGUAUGAGAUACUAUAUAUUUUUUGUGAGGUGUUUUUGGGCUAUUUAAUUAGGAUUUGACUUUAUCAAUUUAAACAGAAUGAAAUUAAUUACCAAAACUAAAUUAGUAUAGUCACCAAUUAAUUCGUUCUUAUCCUCAAAUAUUACCACAUCUUAUUUCAGCUUUAUAUAAUCACUAAUCCUUGUGAAUUGUCAAAUCAAAACCAUCAACCUUCUCCAUUUUCACAUUACUUUCUAUUGAAUUCAACCUACAAUCUCAACAUGGCAAAGAAGGUUUAUCUUACGCUUUUCGUGUUUCGUUUGAUUUACAUGCAUAUUCUCUCUUCUACUGCAGUUCCGAUGUCAAGGGGUAAAUUAUACUUUUCAGUGCAGAACUUUGUCCUUAUUUCCUAUCAUUAUUUUAACAUCAACUAUAUCAUGUAUAAUGGCAUGAAAUAUGAAAUUUAUCAUUGUUUUUUACCGGGUUUAGGGCAAAGCUUUGUUUCAAAUAAAGAAGAGCUGCCCAACAAAAAAUUCUCAGGUUUUCCCUCAGUUGUUGUUGUUAUUAUUAUCAUUAUAACUAAUACAUUCGUUGUAUUUUCAGUUGAAUCUAAUUCUUGGUAAUUUGUGAAGGGCAUCAGAAGAGUUGAAGUGGCAAAUCCUAAAGGAAAUGAGAAAGAAAGCCUAAAGAUGGAGGUCAGCAUUGACUAUUCAGGCGCUAAACCCAACAGACCAUGCGAUCCAAAAGAUCCAGCAGGCUGUCCUCCAUCCCGGGGGCGGGGGGGAAUUAAAAAAUAAAAUAAAAUCAUUGUGGAACAAUUUUCUAUUUUUGCUAACUAAAAUUUCAGUGGAAGUCUAUCUCAGCACUUGGUUGGUCUUCAUUAUUUCUAUAAUAUAUUUUCCUCUUUCUUAUUUUGAACAUCACAUUCUUCAGUAAAAUAAUAUUAUACGUAAAUUUAAAAAUUUUAUUUAUUUUUUAAAUACAUAUUUUCCAUCAAAAUACUAUUCUAAAAUGCAUUUUGGACCAAAAAGGGGCCCAAACAAC